CCUACGGGAGGCAGCAGUGGGGAAUUUUGGACAAUGGGCGCAAGCCUGAUCCAGCCAUGCCGCGUGCGGGAAGAAGGCCUUCGGGUUGUAAACCGCUUUUGUCAGGGAAGAAAUCCUUUGGGCUAAUACCCUAGGGGGAUGACGGUACCUGAAGAAUAAGCACCGGCUAACUACGUGCCAGCAGCCGCGGUAAUACGUAGGGUGCAAGCGUUAAUCGGAAUUACUGGGCGUAAAGCGUGCGCAGGCGGUGAUGCAAGACAGAUGUGAAAUCCCCGGGCUCAACCUGGGAACUGCAUUUGUGACUGCAUCGCUGGAGUGCGGCAGAGGGGGAUGGAAUUCCGCGUGUAGCAGUGAAAUGCGUAGAUAUGCGGAGGAACACCGAUGGCGAAGGCAAUCCCCUGGGCCUGCACUGACGCUCAUGCACGAAAGCGUGGGGAGCAAACAGGAUUAGAUACCCUGGUAGUCCACGCCCUAAACGAUGUCAACUGGUUGUUGGGAGGGUUUCUUCUCAGUAACGUAGCUAACGCGUGAAGUUGACCGCCUGGGGAGUACGGCCGCAAGGUUGAAACUUAAAGGAAUUGACGGNGNGAGAGNGCGAGACGACGACGAGGGAGAGG
RNAcentral lists this ribosomal RNA (617 nucleotides) under uncultured bacterium. Its description in RNAcentral is "bacterial SSU rRNA". It matches the Rfam family "Bacterial small subunit ribosomal RNA", at positions 338 to 947 of the family's 1533-position model. The record is from RNAcentral.